GACGAACGCUGGCGGCACGCCUAACACAUGCAAGUCGAACGGACUUAAAAGACCUUUCUUUUUUGAGUUAGUGGCGGACGGGUGAGUAACACGUGAGCAACCUGCCUCUGAGAGUGGGAUAGCUUCUGGAAACGGAUGGUAAUACCCCAUAAAAUAUACAUAUCGCAUGAUAGAGAUAUAAAAUAAGUUCGCUCAGAGAUGGGCUCGCGUCUGAUUAGUUAGUUGGUGAGGUAUCGGCUCACCAAGGCGAGGAUCAGUAGCCGGCCUGAGAGGGUGAACGGUCAGAUUGGGACUGCGACACGGACCAGACUCGUACGGGAGGGAGGAGUGGGGAAUAUAGCACAAUGGAGCGAAAUCUGAUGCAGCGAUGCCGCGUGGAGGAAGAAGGUUUUCGGAUUGUAAAUUCCUUUUAUCAGGGACGAUAAUGACGGUACCUGAAGAAAAAGCACCGGCUAACUACGUG
Molecule: ribosomal RNA, 463 nt
Filed under: uncultured bacterium
Lineage: Bacteria
Description: partial 16S ribosomal RNA
Rfam family: Bacterial small subunit ribosomal RNA
Source: RNAcentral